GGAAACUUAACAGGAAGCCACUAACAAUCCUUCUAGCUAUAGGAUUAGAUAUAUAGCGACAUAAUCGUCCAUCGACAUAUGCUAGAAUCCCUGAUAGAACAAAAUUUCCAAAUCCCCAUUUCCAUAAAAAAUCGAGCUUUUGUCCAGAUGCAGGUACAAUGGCUUUCUCAUCAUCACCUUCCACUUUCUGCUUCCAAUUCAU
RNAcentral lists this unclassified non-coding RNA (202 nucleotides) under Hevea brasiliensis (rubber tree). Lineage: Eukaryota; Viridiplantae; Streptophyta; Magnoliopsida; Malpighiales; Euphorbiaceae. The record is from RNAcentral.